CCUUUGGUGGGGGAUAACCCGGGGAAACCCGCUAAUACCGCAUGAGCCUGGAGUUGUCAUGACUCCAGGGAAAGCAUUUAUGUGCCGAUGGAGGAGCCCGCGUCCGAUUAGCUAGUUGGUGAGGUAAGAGCUUACCAAGGCGACGAUCGGUAGCCGGUCUGAGAGGACGGACGGUCACACUGGGACUGAGACACGGCCCAGACUCCUACGGGAGGCAGCAGUGGGGAAUUUUGGGCAAUGGGCGCAAGUGACCCAGCAACGCCGCGUGGAGGACGAAGGUUUUCGGAUCGUAAACUCCUGUCUAGAGGGACGAAUAAGUGACGGUACCUCUGGAGGAAGCCCCGGCUAACUCCGUGCCAGCAGCCGCGGUAAUACGGGGGGGGCUAGCGUUGUUCGGAAUUACUGGGCGUAAAGGGCGCGUAGGGGUAUGGGAAGUCAUGGGUGAAAGUCCUCGGCUCAACCGAGGGAUUGCCUGUGAAACCACCAUACUGGAGUGCUGGAGAGGGAAGUGGAAUUCCCAGUGUAGCGGUGAAAUGCGUAGAUAUUGGGAGGAACACCGGUGGCGAAGGGGCUUCCUGGACAGACACUGACGCUGAGGCGCGAAAGCAGGGGAGCGAACGGGAUUAGAUACCCCGGUAGUCCUGGCUGUAAACGAUGAACACUUGGUGUAGGGGGUGAUGAAGUCCCUCUGUGCCGGAGAGAACUCGUUAAGUGUUCCGCCUGGGGAGUACGGCCGCAAGUGAAACUCAAAGGAAUUGACGGGGGCCCGCACAAGCGUGGAGCAUGUGGUUUAAUUCGACGCAACGGAAGAACCUUACCGGGGUUUGAACUGCACCUGAACGACCUAGAGA
This 851-nucleotide ribosomal RNA is filed under the name uncultured bacterium. RNAcentral describes it as "bacterial SSU rRNA". It matches the Rfam family "Bacterial small subunit ribosomal RNA", at positions 130 to 1006 of the family's 1533-position model. The record is from RNAcentral.